CUCCCGGAGGUGGACCCCCGGAUGGGAAGAGACUGGGGAGACAGGUGGGGAGCGAAAGAUGGUGCUGGGACCCUGCCGGUGUUCUCUGACCUCUGAGAGUCACAGCUCAAGGUCCAAUUCCUCUGUGCAAAGUUUUCUCACUUUGCUUACUUUGUUUGCUACUAAUUGAUCGGUGCGGAUCUCCUCCUCUGUGAAAUCUGUAGAAAUCUGACUUGUGACUUGGCCCACCGUGCCAAAGUGGCCUGGAUUGACUGCAGUGACAGGCUCCUCCAUUUUCUCCCCUGACACGGAAGAAUACUGAAAAGCUUUGUCUGUGGGGAGAGGGGGAUCCAUGCUGGGUCUGAGGAUGUGGCUCAGAUGGUGGAGCGUUUGUCUAGCAUGCACAACGCCUGAGUUCAGCCGCCAGAAUCACAUAAACAGCACUGCAGGCUGUUACUCCCAGCCCUCCCGAGGUGGAAACCAGAGGAUCAGAAGUCAAAGAUCAUCUUCAGCUACAUAGCUCCUUUGAGACCAGACUUUGAUCUCUGUGACACAAAAAAAAAAAAAAAAAAAAAAAAAAAAC
This is a long non-coding RNA of Mus caroli (Ryukyu mouse), 562 nucleotides long. RefSeq lists it as uncharacterized. The record is from RefSeq and is a predicted model, not a curated record. NCBI's taxonomy places the organism in Eukaryota, Metazoa, Chordata, Mammalia, Rodentia, Muridae.